AACACUGAAUUGGAGUGUUAUAAGAUAAAGACUAUCUAAUCCAUAGAGCAAAACACUUUUCAGGCUAAAAACAAAACCAAUUUAAAAAAACUCAGCCAACAGAUAUAAUAACUAUAAAUCCACAUUAGAAGAAGGUUAGCAGUGAUCAAAUUAAAUGAACAAGAUGGAGGGGGAACUAUGUUGACUGCACAUGGCUUGCCAUGAAGAAGUUCUUUGGCCUGCUGACAGGAUUCAUCAGGCUGUGCACAGUCACAAAAUGUCAACAUCUGGGCAACAUUAAAAGGCAUAUUUUGAUAGAAGAACCUUAUGGCUGCUCGGCAUUGUUCCAUGUGGCACUGCUUUCUGGUUACUGAACAAACUUUGAGAGAUUUGAGCUUUGAUGAAGUCAACCUUCUGGAAGGGCAUGAGACACUGCCAGGCAACCUUAACUCUGCCUUAAAGAUGUUUUUUGUUAUCUGAAACACUGCCGGUGAAAUCCUGUCUCCAUUAAGUUAAUGGACACUUUGCUGUACACCUAA
This is a non-coding RNA of Pelodiscus sinensis (Chinese soft-shelled turtle), 518 nucleotides long. Lineage: Eukaryota; Metazoa; Chordata; Testudines; Trionychidae. The record is from RefSeq and is a predicted model, not a curated record.